CGAUUUUUAAAAAAAUGUGUAGGUUCAUUCUGCAUCAAAUGUAACAAAUGUCAAGGCUUCAGUAGAUAGUAAUAUGACGAUGUACUUGAACAAUAAGCCUGGAUUGUUUUCGAUCAAAUCAAGAAAUUGGACUUCUCUAGCCGAAUUAUGGAAUUCAAAAAUACGAAAAUAUGGCAACCUCGCAUAUGUACUCAGAUUAAGGUAGAUUCUAAAUUACGCAGACAAUGUAAAACUUUUAGUUUUUCCAUGAUUUUUGGUGAUAAUCUCACCUCAAAAUCUACAUUUCCCCAUGAGGGAUCAUCGUUAUGGGAUCCGAAACUAGGCAGCACCGUUUCAAAGGGCGCAAAUCUUUAACGGAGGGUUUAUAACUUUCUAGAACGCCUAAAACACACGCGUAACACGUAUACGUUAAUGGUACACGUCAAGGACCUAAAUGCAAAAAAUUUAAAGGUAUUAUUACUAGCGAUGGGUUCCGGUGGUCACACAUUGACCUCUGGCACCACACUGCCCCACUACCUAACGAUUUUGCGGUUUCGCUUUUUCAAUCGAGAGACCUUCCCUGAGAUUUUGAUUUAAAAAAAACAAACAAAGAACACAAAAAACAAAAAAACAGAAAAAAAAUCGAGCUGUCAUCAGAGACAUUAACACGAACCGUGUAUGAAGUUAAUGCUAUACCCGUACACUGCUGUUCAAGUUUCAAAAUGUGAGCUAAAUCCAAGAAAAAGAAUGAAGCAAUCACCAAAAUAAAAAAAACAAACGUACUAACCUGUAAUUAGUAAGAACAUGAAGGAAACUAGAAGAUUUUUAAGUUUCAUGAGUCUUUCGUCUCCUCGAGAAUGGAAUUUUUAAAUAGUGUCCACAGUAAUUAAAUCCAUAUUAUAGAUUGUGCAAUAAAAUACAACAAGAAAAUAUUGAAAUCCUUCGCGUCCUAGUUUCUACUCUAACUGAAAACUUUAUUUUCCCGUCAGUUUCCAUCGAAUGACACGCAUGACCAUAACCUUCAUGAGAUCAUAAUAUUUUAGUACAUGAGUGCAACAUUGUUUUAUUUUACAAUACAAAACAUAACAAUGUCCAAAUUACUUAUCCUGUAGUAAGACUCAGUGACGUUAGUCGACCGAGAUUCUCCGUUCCGACCACUGAAAUUAAUGUACUGAGAAAUAGAGGUCAUCAGUCUCGGUCCAAAAUAACAAGAACCGUAAAUAUUGGUCGCGUCACCCUCUGGAAAAGGAAAAAUUAAAACAUCAUCGCAACUAAUAGGAGUCUCAAUUUGAAGACAGUUGAAGAAUUUGAGUGCGUUUUAAAUGAAAUUAAGACAAAACAUCCGUUUGUUGGCUACCGGCACAACUGGGGCAACUUGAAGGCUCGAGGCAUAUACAUUACCUGAAAGCGACGGAUUUUGCUGGUACAGGAAGUAGAUCCAGUGGGAGUGUUGAAGAGGCGCCGCAGACGGUUAAAAAGAAGACAGUAUACAGUGAAGGCUUCAAAUUACAUUUGACUGAACUAUUCCAAGAUGUUGUAUUUCCGCCAACCAGAGUAACAUGGAAACCAACCUUUACCGUAGCCAAGUGGUUUAGUGGGAGAGCCAAGCUCUGUCCAAGGAUCAGCUUGAAACCAAGUGCAAAUACUUUUUAUUUGCAAAAGUUCACCGGGAGAAGUUUUAGAGCGGAUUGAAACCAUGAUGGUCUUAUUUACAUUUCGUGACACUUGGGAUCCAGUGAAUAAGCUUUUCAACUUCGGAGGCGUAUAACUCUUUUAUUGCGAGUCUCUAUUUUUGCUUAUGAGUGGAACUAUUCCAGCAGUGAGAACAACCCGCAACAACAAACCUCAAAAAAUUUCUUUAUAUGAUACCGAUGCAUGUAUGCAGGACACGUUUGCCAAAACAGUGCCAAAAACAAA
This is a non-coding RNA of Bemisia tabaci, 1896 nucleotides long. The record is from RefSeq and is a predicted model, not a curated record. NCBI's taxonomy places the organism in Eukaryota, Metazoa, Arthropoda, Insecta, Hemiptera, Aleyrodidae.